This 107-nucleotide small nuclear RNA is filed under the name Dasypus novemcinctus (nine-banded armadillo). The record is from RNAcentral. Lineage: Eukaryota; Metazoa; Chordata; Mammalia; Cingulata; Dasypodidae.
GUGGUUGCUUCAACAACACAUAUACUUAAAUUGCAACAGUGCAGCGAAGAUUAGUAUGGCCCCUGUGCAAGGAUGAUAUGUAAAUUCAUAAAGCAUUCCAGAUCUCU